UCCCCCAAAUCGAACCCUCCCUAGACCUCCUCCUCAACCGCCGCCGCCGCCCCCUCUGCCGUUGACCACGCCCUCCGCCACCACCCCUUUGGCUGACCUGUGCGACCCCAUCGGGAUCUAUGGCGGCGGUGCUUGGAUCUCGGCGCCGCCUCCCUCGAUACGCCUCUGAUGUGCGAGGUUGUCGUCGCCUCCCUCCCUUCGACACCACCACCAGAACUGGUCGACGAUGCCGGUCGCCUCCAUCUCUUCCUUACGGUCCAUCACGCCGACGAGCAUAGGCGGACUCCCCACCGUGGCUUCCUCCCCGCCAACGGCGAGCGUGGUGUCCCAUCUCCACUAUACUGGUACAAUACUUUCCUCAGAUCCGUCUUGGUGGAAAUCCGAUGCAGGUGAGAUCUUCCUAGGUUGUUAAUCUUUUCUUCUCUGGUCGAUGAGAACUCAUGGUGCGCAUUGUCCAGUUGUCCGUACGAAGGCAGAUUUCCCCUUCCACCGAGUUACUACUGAGUGUGUUCCUUAUUGUUGUUUUCCUUUUCCUACCAAAUUGAUGCAGGUGCUAUUAGUGAAAGGAUUGGAGAGUGGUUCUAGCAGUGGUUGGUUUGUUCGAGGAAUUCCUGGUGCUCGUGAUUUGUAAAGGGUUUCAGCCAGGUUAGUGUAUAUUUCAUUUUGUUAUAUUUUUUUUUGAAACGAGGCAAAAGACUUGCCAUUUUCAUUGAUUAAGAAGAAGAUAAUUGUCCGGUUAAUUGACGGAAAACCGGGCUAAAACCGAUAUAACACUGCCCACAUGACAUGGGCACCACCGGCCAACCUGGCCACCGACAUGGAACAAAAGCCACGACGGCACAUGCCAAUAGAUGGCCACACGCGCAAGCAACUGACAGCUCCGACUUUGACGAUGAGGAACGCAAGGGAAAUAUGCAGGUCUUGCGCUGACCGUGCCCCCGCAAACGACCACCGAAUGCAUGUCAUCAUCACCACCUGGACUCGCUCCAACGCAGCUCCGACUUCAAAGCAACCAGCAACCACGGAAGAGCACCUUGGACACGCCGGGAAGAACCGACUACCGAAGACCACGCCGCGACCCAAGCUUCGAUCGACGCCAUCAUCGUUGCCAAACAGAAAUCAGCGCCCCGCCUCAGCAAACCACGCGGCGAAGAUGCCGCCCUCGACGGCGUAGAUGCCGUCAUCCACUAGUCUCACAGUCGUAGCCUGCUCCGAGAUGAUGCCCCCAAGGAGGAGAAAGACGCGAAGACGCCUCCAUCGCCCGAUCCAGCGGAUCUGAGGUUUCCCUCCGGAGCCAAAGCCGUGGGGAGGAGCAGGAGCACCUCCACGACGACGCUUCCAAGAAAGACCACGGCACCCGCGGGCGCCGCCGUCGCCGGCUCCGAUGAAGACCGGAGCAAGGAUUUCUCCCGGAGUUGCGCCGACCACCAGCCGCCACCGACCACCACCCACCAACCACCACCCCUGCUGAGAGCAACCUCACUCCAGCCGCAGGAUCCCUCGAUCCACCGCGACCAGCCACGCACCACCUCCCCAGCCGUAGCCGCCACCCACCACCGCCGCACCACCGCGACCACCACCACCGCAGCACCCAUGCCACAUCACGAGAGGAAGCAAGAAGAUAUGAGACACGCCAAUCCAGAUCGAAGCCACUCUCCCGAAGCAGCAGAACAGAGGAGGAGCAGGGGCACCCGCAGCACACCACGUGCUAUUAAUAUGCAAGUAUAUGUGCCAAUUUCAUUUGCCUGUAUCCAUCCUUUUUAGUACAUGGAUCAGUCUUUAUUUAUUCAGGUUCAGACAUUGCGCAACUGAAGACUGUGUAUAUUAGUCGAAGGCACGAGCUAUGCACGUGUUCUUCACUCACUCAUCCGUUUAUUUGAGCAACAUUUAUUUUCAGAUGGGAGUAGUAUGUAUGCUGUUGAGUGUUAAAUCCCGUCCAAAGGAUUGGCAAGUUGCUGCUUCGAAACUUGGUAGAUACAAACGAUUAGUGCUCUGUACAAGCUAGUUGUUUACGGAGUAGAAGGAAGGUUACUCUAGUCAUUGUUGUUUCCCGAUCAUAGCCACAGAAGAUCUUGAAUAGCAGAGUUUCACCAGUGGGCCCAUUUGGAGCCGUCAGGAUUCCAGAAAGGUCCUGGAGUCGUUUUGGCGCCUGCCCGUACAUAGCGAAUCUAAGUAAUGUCAACCAUUAGAUCUCUUGGGCAAGGUACUGAUGAACGGUGGAUAUUCAUUUUAUGGAACAAAUAAAUGACUUGUAUUUGCUCUGGAGUCUGGGCGGACUGCUAAUCCAAAUUCAAAAAAUUGUGUACUAUAGUAGUAGGGAAAUGUAGCGCUCUAUAAAGUUUUUGGUGCCUCCAUCUGAAAGAGCUAAAUUUAUAGACAUGAGUGGAUUUGAUAUUAAAAAUUUCUCUACAAAAGUAGCUACUUUUCCUGCCCUGAUUUACCAUCUAGCUAAUUGUUUCAUAGGAGUUCAAUACUGAGGUAACAUUUUUUUUCUCUCAAACUCGUGCUUGAAUGUACCAAUAAAGAUGCUCUGCACAACUCUAAUUCUUGGUGCCAAUGGGUAUUCUUCCAUUUACUAUGAUUAAGUGCUCUUUGUGCUAAUUCUGGAUGUUAAAAGAAAACGAACUUUGACUAAUGAACAUGUAGUUGGAAUGAACAAGUACCCUUGUUUAUCUCCAUUGAUCGAUUGAUGUGAGAUCAUUUAGUUCACUCGUCAUCACGCACAUAUACUUGUACAUGUAAUAAAAGCAAUCAGAUAGAGAAUCUCUUUCUGUCUCUUCUCUGUUUGCUACAAAUAUAGACUGAAAGUGUAGUACUGCUUCUAGAGUUUAAAGAUUUGAACUUGCAAAAGUGUUAGUUCUCUGAUAUGAAGUUCAUUAUUUAUGUUCUGUGAAAGUUGUUGUCUGAAUGUGAUAUACCCAUAUAUUAUAUAAAGAACAAGUUCACACCAGUACCAAAAAUUAUGCUUAAACUUUCAUGCCAUCUAAUAGAUAAUAGUUUCUGUAUACUUUUCAACUUCACAAGCAUUGCAGUAACUACAUUGUCACAGGAAAUUAGAUAUUUUGAGAAGCUUCUACAAGAUCUUGAUAUCAUUUGUGUUCUAUCCCUUGAUCCUGUGCUUGAGAAGGAGCUUCCCUAAAUUGCACAACUCCGAAAACUUGUACGUGAUUUGAUUUUCUUCUGGUGGUCACACUUGCAUCCUUCAAGGAUCAUCCUUAUCAGUUAUUACAGUACAUUUGUCGAUUUAGCAUUUUAAUUGCUAUUUGCACUAUUAGGAGUAUCUCCUGGAAAAAAAUUCUUCUACAGACAAACGUGACUAAUGUAUGUGUGUUGUGUUAGAUAUAGAUUUGGUUAUGAGUUACUGCUUUUUGUGGUCAUGGGGAAAUUAAUCAUUCCAGGAUCUCAACAUUGUAGUAUUUUGCGCAAAUUUGUGAAGUUCAAUGUCUUAGUGUCAUGGAUCAGGACUAAAUGUUCUUGAGUUAUCACAUCAAAACUUGAGAUGUGGAAAUCAAACUACUUUUGCUUACUUGAUUCUUUUGAGCGUGCAUAUGAAAGAAUGGUUAUCUAUGUUGCUUGCCUGUGCUAUCAGCUACUGUGACCUAUCUUUCAUACUUAUAUACACAUUAUGCUUGGACAUGUGUUGUUUGUACGAAAGGAAACAUCUAGUAUUUUGUAAUGCUUGAACUCAGGGUAGUCACUACUUAAAUAUUUCUCCAUUUAAUCGAGUAAGAACAGUUCUUCAGAACAUUUUAUCAUUUCCAUCUUCAGACAUCUUGAUAGGAAGCACCAGGGAAUGUUUGCAGUUUCAAUUUAUAUUGUACGUAAAGGACUGUAGAUAUGCUCUCUGCCAGUGAAAACUUCUAAAUGAUCUAUGCACUAUGGCAGUGCCGCAGUGGAUACUUAUAAAUGACUGCACACAUGUUUUAUUAAGUCUUAUUAGUAUAGGGAGUUCAAUAAUCUUUUGGUGUUAAACAAGUGGAUGCUACAACUGAAUACUAAAUCAGUAAAACACUGUAGGAGUUUUAAGCAAGCUUUGGGUAAAAAGAUUUUUGUAUUGUGUUGUUUAUUCCCAUUGGUCGAUCGAUGUGAGAUUAUCUAGUUCAACCGUCAUCAUGCACAUAUACUGUUACAUGGAAGAAAAAUAACUAGCUAGAGAACUUAUUUAUGUCUCCUUUCAUUUUGCUGCUAAGACAGACUAAAAGUGGAGUACUCUUCUAGAGUUUAAUUGUUAUUACAUGAUGCUUUUAUAAGGUUGGGGUCUUCAAUCUAGUUUUUACUUGAUAAGUUACUGUUUCUUAAGAAUAACAUGAAGCAUGGAUUCUUAUAUGUUCCAUGUAUUAUGUCAGGGCAAGUAAUUAUCAGCUGAGCAAAGGCUACAACAUGCUAGGAGGAGAAGUUUGAAUGGAGGCAGAGAGUACACUUGGUAAGUCAUAUAUCCAACCUGAACUUAUUUACUCAUUUUUUAUUUUUGUUCUAGUUUGAGUCCAAAAAGAUGGUUUGACAAAUGAGGUUGACAUUCUGUACACAUGUGCGCAUCUACCAUUCAUGCUUGUGAAGCAUUUUUAAAAAUAAAAUUGAAUAUGGCCAAAUUUGGGUUCCAAGUUUUGCCAUGCAGUCAUGACUUCGUAUUAGUUUGCCCCCUUCAACAUGUAAUACUAUGAGCCUGACCAUAUUUUAUUUGGAACAUUUAGAUGAUGUGCCAGAAGGAAAACAAAAGGCAACGAUGAGAAGGAAAACAAACGGCAAUCUACUUACAUCUGACGUGUUAAUUCGAAUGUGCCAAAAAUUUCUCUUUUCAGGAAAUAGAAUGGAAAAAGGAAGAGGAGAGAAUGCUGAAGCACAAGAGCGAGAGGCUAGCGGAAGUUAAAGCAAUAAACUAUAAGCAUUUUGAAUGAUUAGGGCCUCGUGUCGUUGGGAACAUUACAACCAUGGGGAAAGCUAAUUUUGGUUGCUAGUUUAGCAUAGAAGCCACUAUAUGCUCAUUUUGGUCGUGUGUCGCAUCAAAAAACAUAUGUAAUUUUCCUUUUGUUGCACAACACCCUUGUAUAUGGGCGUUUCUAGAAGCAUAUGUAUUUGGUCGUUAAUUUUAUUGAGUGAAGAUAAGUUUUACGAUGAGGCCCAUAUGUGAAUUAUGAAAUAGUGUCAUUUGUCUUGAUUGCCAAGACAAAAUGAAUGCAUAUUACAUUAGUGAUUUGUUGCCCAG
RNAcentral lists this long non-coding RNA (5203 nucleotides) under Triticum aestivum (bread wheat). Its description in RNAcentral is "long non-coding RNA (TAES_LNC024542)". Lineage: Eukaryota; Viridiplantae; Streptophyta; Magnoliopsida; Poales; Poaceae. The record is from RNAcentral.